GUGGUGGUGGUGUAGCUGGUAGCACCCAGGCCUGUGGAGCCUGCAGCCCGGGUUCAAAUCCCGGCCACCACU
This 72-nucleotide transfer RNA is filed under the name Microcaldota archaeon. RNAcentral's name for it is "Candidatus Micrarchaeota archaeon (hot springs metagenome) tRNA-His". It matches the Rfam family "tRNA". From Rfam's summary of the family: Transfer RNA (tRNA) molecules are approximately 80 nucleotides in length. Their secondary structure includes four short double-helical elements and three loops (D, anti-codon, and T loops). The record is from RNAcentral. Lineage: Archaea; Nanobdellati; Microcaldota.